Molecule: ribosomal RNA, 333 nt
Filed under: Triticum aestivum (bread wheat)
Lineage: Eukaryota; Viridiplantae; Streptophyta; Magnoliopsida; Poales; Poaceae
Description: partial small subunit ribosomal RNA
Source: RNAcentral
AUGAGAGCCGUGACGACACCUUCAAGAAGGGAACGAUCUUCGCCGCCGCCGGUCCGUCCGAAGAUAGAACAUGUUUUCACCUCGGCCAACACUCACCGCCACCGAAUGCCACACCCCGGCAACCAUGCCGCCCGCACGGCCAUGGUGACCGGGCAACGCCAAGGCACGGGCUCCGCCCAAGAGCACCGCGCUACCACCACCAGGGCCGCCGCCCCGGCAUCCAAGACCUUGACACCACCUCACCCGAGACCCGCCGCAACCCCAAUGGAAGAGACGAGCGGAAAGGUCCCACCUUUCGCACCCCUGGGCGACCCCAGCGUCGAGACCCAAUAG